GGAUGUUGACAGAAGAUAGAGAGCACUGAGAGGACAUGAAGUGCAUAUAUAUAAUGCACCUCGCUUCUUUGUGCUCUUUAUACUUCUGUCAUUACCCU
RNAcentral lists this microRNA precursor (98 nucleotides) under Cynara cardunculus (cardoon). RNAcentral's name for it is "miR156c stem-loop (cca-MIR156c)". Its record names the gene cca-MIR156c. The record is from miRBase by way of RNAcentral. Lineage: Eukaryota; Viridiplantae; Streptophyta; Magnoliopsida; Asterales; Asteraceae.